This 404-nucleotide ribosomal RNA is filed under the name uncultured bacterium. RNAcentral describes it as "bacterial SSU rRNA". It matches the Rfam family "Bacterial small subunit ribosomal RNA", at positions 29 to 431 of the family's 1533-position model. The record is from RNAcentral.
AGCGAACGUUUGCGGCGGGCCUAACACAUGCAAGUCGAACGGGCAGUCCCUUCGGGGGCUGUCAGUGGCGCACGGGUGCGUAACACGUAGGUAAUCAACCCUCGGGUUCGGGAUAACACUUCGAAAGGGGUGCUAAUACCGGAUGCGACGAGCGUCUCCUCGGAGAUGCACGGGAAAGAUCCGCAAGGGUCGCCCGAGGACGAGCCUGCGGCCCAUCAGCUUGUUGGUGAGGUAAUGGCUCACCAAGGCUAAGACGGGUAGCUGGUCUGAGAGGAUGAUCAGUCACACUGGAACUGAGACACGGUCCAGACUCCUACGGGAGGCAGCAGUGGGGAAUAUUGCGCAAUGGGCGAAAGCCUGACGCAGCCACGCCGCGUGAGCGAUGAAGGCCUCGGUCGUAAGAC